Molecule: unclassified non-coding RNA, 279 nt
Filed under: Hevea brasiliensis (rubber tree)
Lineage: Eukaryota; Viridiplantae; Streptophyta; Magnoliopsida; Malpighiales; Euphorbiaceae
Source: RNAcentral
ACUUAAAAAUAUAAACCUCCACCGACUUUCUGCUGGUGUGCUAAACCAACUGUUCAUUUCCAAGGAGUUCCCCACAGAAAACCAUGAUUAUUGUACGAUAGCAAAACACAAAUAAGAACUCGAGCUUUAUGACAAACAAUUAUAAGGGCACACAGAGCAGGCAACUAUGAUCUUAGUAUAUCAUAUAAAUUGGAUGAACAGAACAAUGGGGCAUAAAACUCCCUUCCAGAUGAAGGAAAAGAAAUCAAUGAGAAAUAGGACAAAAAGAGUAGCACUGAA